CUAAGUCGAGCCAGGCAGCA
RNAcentral lists this unclassified non-coding RNA (20 nucleotides) under Mus musculus (house mouse). Its description in RNAcentral is "oocyte_clustered_small_RNA7027". Lineage: Eukaryota; Metazoa; Chordata; Mammalia; Rodentia; Muridae. The record is from RNAcentral.